This 496-nucleotide ribosomal RNA is filed under the name uncultured bacterium. Its description in RNAcentral is "bacterial SSU rRNA". It matches the Rfam family "Bacterial small subunit ribosomal RNA", at positions 15 to 518 of the family's 1533-position model. The record is from RNAcentral.
GAUCAUGGCUCAGGACGAACGCUGGCGGCGUGCCUAAUACAUGCAAGUCGAACGGGCCACUGAAUUCGGUUGGUGGUUAGUGGCGAACGGGUGAGUAACGCGUGAGGAACCUGACCCACAGAGGGGGAUAACACCUGGAAACGGGUGCUAAUACCGCAUAAGACCUCAAUGUCGCAUGGACGAAAGGGGUCAAAGGAGCAAUCCGCUGAGGGAGGGACUCGCGUCCAUUAGAUAGUUGGUGAGGUAACGGCCCACCAAGUCGACGAUGGGUAGCCGAGCUGAGAGGCUGAUCGGCCACACUGGAACUGAGACACGGUCCAGACUCCGUACGGGAGGCAGCAGGUAGGGAAUAGUUGGGCAAUGGGGGGAACCCUGAACCCCCAGCAACGCCGCGUGAGGGAAGAAGGUUUUCGGAUUGUAAACCUCUGUCCUAUGUGACGAAGGAAGUGACGGUAGCAUAGGAGGAAGCCCCGGCUAACUACGUGCCAGCCGCAGC